AACGAGCGCAACCCUUGCCUUUAGUUGCCAGCAGUUCGGCUGGGCACUCUAAAGGGACUGCCGGUGUUAAACCGGAGGAAGGUGGGGAGUGGACGUCAAGUCCUCAUGGCCUUUAUCGACCAGGGCUACACACGUACUACAAUGGCCGAUACAAAGGGCAAGGCGACACUGCGAGGUGAAGCCAAUCCCGUAAAAUCGGUCUCAGUCCGGAUUGGAGUCUGCAACUCGACUCCAUGAAGUUGGAAUCGCUAGUAAUCGUGGAUCAGCAUGCCACGGUGAAUACGUUCCCGGGCCUU
Molecule: ribosomal RNA, 296 nt
Filed under: uncultured Desulfobulbus sp.
Lineage: Bacteria; Pseudomonadati; Thermodesulfobacteriota; Desulfobulbia; Desulfobulbales; Desulfobulbaceae
Description: partial 16S ribosomal RNA
Rfam family: Bacterial small subunit ribosomal RNA
Source: RNAcentral